GCCUCCAGAUUUCAGCUGUGCUGGCAGCGAAGGCCACUCUGAGAGAUGGGCAGCAUGGCUUCUGUGUGUGCCAUUCAUCAGAGCCAGCACUAAAGGGAGCCGAGUGUGGGUUUCAACCUUCUGUACCUGGUGUGGACUGCCUUCAUGCUGAGAUGCAGUGUGACCGGCUGCCUAAUGUUCCUACUGCCAUGCCUCCCUUGCCAUGGUGGAUUGUAUCCUUUCUUGAAUGGUGACAGCAGAUACUGGCAAGGAUGUGGAGAAAGAGGAAUACUUCUCCAUUGCUGGUGGGAUUGCAAGCUUGUGCAGCCACUCUGGAAAUCAGUCUGGCUGUUUCUCAGAAAAUUGGACAUAGUACUACUGGAAGAUCCAGCAAUUCCUCUCCUGCGCAUAUACCCAGAAGAUGUUCCAACUGGUAAUAAGGACACAUGCUCCACUGUGUUCAUAGCAGUCUUAUUUAUAAUAGCCAGACGCUGGAAAGAACCCAGAUGUUCCUCAACAGAGGAAUGGAUACAGAAAAUGUGGUACAUUUACACAAUGGAGUACUACUCAGCUCUUAAAAACAAUGAAUUUAUGAAAUUCUUGGGCAAAUGGAUGUAUUUGGAGGAUAAUUUUAUUGUUUGUUGAUACUGUUGGUAGGGUUUGUUGUUUUUGUUGUUGCUGCUAUUGUUGCUGUUUUCUAUGUGUGUGUUUGUGUGUGUGUGUUUUCCUUAUUUGGCUGGUUAGUUUUAGUACCAGGGUCUUGCUAUGUAGCUGAGCAUGACUUUGUCUCACCUUUACCUUCUGGUGGGUUGAAUUACAGAAUUACGUAAUUCUGAGGAUCAAAUAUGUGGCCUUGAUAAUGGCAUCCUGACUUUGCCAAUUGUCUUAAAAUAUUUGUCCAUUUGUUUCUUAAUGGCUACAUUUUAUUGGUCUUUCCCAUCAUUCUACUUUCAUUACUUAUUCUAAUAACUGGGCAGUGGUGGCUCAUGCCUUUAAUCUCAGCACUUGGGAGGGAGAGGCAGGCAGAUUUAUGAGUUCAAGGACAGCCUGGUCUACAGAGUGAGUUCCAGGACAGCCAGGGUUAGACAAAGAAGCCUUGCCCACCCACACCCCUGAAUAAACAAACAAACAAAAUAAUUCAGAAUAUAACUAUCCAUUUUGUUCUGCAAUAUUAAAGUGGUACAUCUUGUUGGCCCAUUCACAUAUUUUUCCAUCCCUCCAUUGCUGGCUCAGUUCUCUUUCCCACAAGCAUUCCUGACCCCAUCAGAACUUUCACACCAGGCACUUUCAAAUUUUAUUUCCUAUUAUGUUAUUGUUUGUGGUCAUUCACUUUACUGAUAGCCUGUGAAGUUAUAUGUGUUCUCAUUCCUUGCACACUUACAUGGAAAAUUCCCAUUCUAGAUAAACAGACCCAGAAAUAUGGAAAAAAAUCAAGUCCAUCUUUCUACAUAACCAUUGCAACUUCUGACUUUAGUUUCACACUUAAUUUCAGAAAGGGUUGCUUGAAUUUGCUGUUCCUACUUCUUUCUCUCUCGUUCAUGGAAUGAUGUCCUAUAUUGUGCAUUUCUGCCCUACUCUAUUACAAAGCUUUGUUGCAAAGGUAGCUAGCUAAUGAUGCACUCCUUUAAUAUGAGAGAUAAUCUCAAGGUUCAGUGUAUACUGUAGUACCUCUUUAGAAAUAUUGUCUCCCCCCUUGCUUUCCAUAGCAUCUUUUCAAUCCAUAUAUCUCCUAUCACUUUGUCUAUUCCUUCUCAGCCUCCUUCCUGGCUGCUCUUCUCCCUGAUAACUAAAGAAUGGCACCACUCACAGUGUUCUCUGUUCAGGACUUUAUCUUCUAUUUCUCUGUCCCAUCUUCUUUCACAAACUCAUUUACCAUCUUUGCUUCAGUUACUCUCUAGAAGUCAGUGAUUACAAAGUUAUUCAUUUGGCCCAGAUUUUUGAGGUUCAGGCUGCCAAUGAGACACUCUUAUAAAUCUAUCUAUUGUGGUUAACUUAAAGCCAUUUGGGGAUGAACAUAACUGGAAACAUCACAAGCCAGACUCAGAAGAAUCAUUCUUGGACCUCCUUGUUCACAUUUUUAUUGGCUCCACCCAAUUGUUUUCUGGAGCCAUACUAGAAUUCUUAUAUUUGCCUCCAUCUCAUUCUUAGGCCUAUACAUAUGUAUUCUCUUCUUACUUCUGAUUUGACGUAAAAAUUUCCAAUUUUGUCUUUGGAUAUCCUCCCUUCCUUUUCACAUCCAUCAACCAACUACAGGUAUUAUUAACAGUAGCCAUUGCACUUAGAUGGGAUAUCUGCUUUCUUCCAUUUGUGACUUUCCUUUCUGCCUUGCACUGGUCUGAUCCUGAUUCAUUCUUUUCUCCCUAUGCCGCAGUUACUACACUGUCUGCUUUUUAGUUCCUCAAAGGUGACAGCUAGUUCUCCAUCUCAGGAAAUUGGCUAUGCACUUUUGCUUUCUAAAUUCAAAUUCUGCUAUUGCUGAAUCUCAAUCUUUACAUUACCAUUUCCUCCUUACCUAGAUGAUAUUUGGAAGAUUUCCUGUCACAUGUAAGAUUUGGGGAAACCUGUGCCUUUCUUCUUAGAACACUCAGAUGAACUUGCAAUGACAGCAGAGUGUAGGUGUAAACUUCACGAUCCCUGUCACCCACCAACAAGAUUCUUGGAGCAGAAAUAUUAGCUAAGUAAAGAGUGUGGUUUAUAUUAAACUCCACUAACUAAGGACAAAAGUUAUUUUCCUCAAGCGUGUCCUUUGCUGCCAUUAUUUGUAUCAAUUUUAGUUUAUGCCUAAGAAAUUAUUACAGUGAUGCAUCCCAAAUCAGACUUCCACACUUCCUAAUGACACCACAUACUAUAUAGUAUUGAUGGUGGCAGAAAAGUGCAUCAAGCCUCAAAACAAAGGUUCAAGAAGUACAGUUCGAUGUUUUCUCUACUUUCUAAUAAGGGAAGAGGUCAAGUCAUGAAACGAAAUUUAAAUGACAAUAGAAGAAUAUGAGAAGCCUCAAAACAAGCUCAACCUCAUUCUGAAAGAAAAGUUCACACUCUCAGAUGGGCAGACGUAUCCCACCACGCUGCACCUCACUCCCUUUUCCACACAGUAACAUUAUAAUAGCCAGAGGGAACUGGGCAGAGGGUAGCUUUGCUGUGUGUUUCAAGAUCCUUCUAUCUCAAGAAGGAAAUCUGGUGUGUGCCUCUGAAUGAUGGGGCCUGCAUUGCAUGCCUCUCAGAUAACUAACUGGAAACAUGUACUCAUAAAUAUUAGGACCUGUUGUAUUGAUUCACAAGGCCAUAUUUAGAAAACAAACACACUUCUGAUUAGAAAUGAUCACACAGCUGGUCCUAAACAGGUGGCUAUCAGAGGAAUCUGUGGAUAUUUAUGACUUUAGAGGGGCAAGCUUUGUCUCUUAAGAAGUCUCAACUGUUCUUGGAGUAAAGCGAUUUAAAGGCAGCGUUUGCUUGACUUCUUGCUGGUUUGUUGACCUAUUCUACUCAAAAUACCAAAUGACACAUUCCAUUUCUUUCUACCUUAAAUGUAUAUCACACUUUACACAAGGGAGGGGGGAUACGUCUCUAGCUAAUUUUCCUUAAACAAUGUAAAUGCUGAAUUCUGUCAAUAAAAAUCUUUAUGAUC
Molecule: long non-coding RNA, 3604 nt
Filed under: Mus musculus (house mouse)
Lineage: Eukaryota; Metazoa; Chordata; Mammalia; Rodentia; Muridae
Description: RIKEN cDNA 4930555F03 gene
Source: RNAcentral